This is a non-coding RNA of Avibacterium paragallinarum, 130 nucleotides long. The record is from Rfam. NCBI's taxonomy places the organism in Bacteria, Pseudomonadati, Pseudomonadota, Gammaproteobacteria, Pasteurellales, Pasteurellaceae.
UCAUCACCACCAUCACCCUGAAUAAUCUUUCGGGCGAUGGCGAUUGCUUGGAAGAUAAGACUUCCGAGUGAGUACUGCAAAUCACAACCCUAAAAACCUCUCGGAAGCCAACUUUCGAGAGGUUUUUUUA